RNAcentral lists this microRNA precursor (87 nucleotides) under Notamacropus eugenii (tammar wallaby). RNAcentral describes it as "microRNA 30b (ENSMEUG00000017320.1)". The stretch from base 9 to 81 matches the Rfam family "mir-30 microRNA precursor family". From Rfam's summary of the family: This family consists of the mammalian microRNA (miRNA) precursor mir-30a. Animal miRNAs are transcribed as ~70nt precursors and subsequently processed by the Dicer enzyme to give a ~22nt product. Lineage: Eukaryota; Metazoa; Chordata; Mammalia; Diprotodontia; Macropodidae. The record is from RNAcentral.
ACUGAGUUCCAGUUCAUGUAAACAUCCUACACUCAGCUGUAACACAUGAUUGGCUGGGAGGUGGAUGUUUACUUCAGCUGACUUGGA